RNAcentral lists this ribosomal RNA (468 nucleotides) under uncultured bacterium. RNAcentral describes it as "partial 16S ribosomal RNA". It matches the Rfam family "Bacterial small subunit ribosomal RNA", at positions 28 to 507 of the family's 1533-position model. The record is from RNAcentral.
GACGAACGCUGGCGGCGUGCUUAACACAUGCAAGUCGAACGGAAAGGCCCUGCAUUUGUGGGGUGCUCGAGUGGCGAACGGGUGAGUAACACGUGAGUAACCUGCCCUUGACUUUGGGAUAACUUCAGGAAACUGGGGCUAAUACCGGAUAGGAGCUCCUGCUGCAUGGUGGGGGUUGGAAAGUUUCGGCGGUUGGGGAUGGACUCGCGGCUUAUCAGCUUGUUGGUGGGGUAGUGGCUUACCAAGGCUUUGACGGGUAGCCGGCCUGAGAGGGUGACCGGCCACAUGGGGACUGAGAGACGAACCAGAAGCCUGCGGUAGGCAGCAGUGGGGAAAAUGGCACAAUGUGCGGGAGUCUGAGGCAGCAGCGGCGCGUGCAGGAUGCAGGCCGUCGGGUGAGAAACGGCUUUCGCCUGUAACGAGGCGUGAGUGACGGUAAUGGGUAAAAAAGCACCGGCUAACUACGUG